This 419-nucleotide ribosomal RNA is filed under the name bacterium. RNAcentral describes it as "partial 16S ribosomal RNA". It matches the Rfam family "Bacterial small subunit ribosomal RNA", at positions 355 to 776 of the family's 1533-position model. The record is from RNAcentral.
UGGGGGAUAUUGCACAAUGGGCGAAAGCCUGAUGCAGCGACGCCGCGUGGGGGAUGAACGCCUUCGGGUUGUAAACUUCUUUUGCUCUGAACAAGGCGCACCAUGGGGUGUGUUGAGUGUAGGGGUUGAUUAGCGCCGGCUAACUACGUGCCAGCAGCCGCGGUAAUACGUAGGGCGCGAGCGUUGUCCGGAAUUAUUGGGCGUAAAGGGCUUGUAGGUGGCUGGUUGCGUCUGUCGUGAAAGCUCAUGGCUUAACUGUGGGUUUGCGGUGGGUACGGGCUGGCUUGAGUGCAGUAGGGGAGGCUGGAAUUCCUGGUGUAGCGGUGGAAUGCGCAGAUAUCAGGAGGAAUACCGGUGGCGAAGGCGGGUCUCUGGGCUGUUACUGACACUGAGGAGCGAAAGCAUGGGGAGCGAACAGG